UUCCCGGUUGAUCCUGCGGGAGGCCACUGCUAUCGGGGUCCGACUAAGCCAUGCGAGUCAAGGGGCUCCCUUCGGGGAGCACCGGCGCACGGCUCAGUAACACGUGGCUAACCUACCCUCGGGUGGGGGAUAACCUCGGGAAACUGAGGCUAAUCCCCCAUAGGGGAGGAGGUCUGGAAUGAUCCCUCCCCGAAAGCUCCGGCGCCCGAGGAUGGGGCUGCGGCGGAUUAGGUAGUUGGUGGGGUAACGGCCCACCAAGCCUACGAUCCGUACGGGCCCUGAGAGGGGGAGCCCGGAGAUGGACACUGAGACACGGGUCCAGGCCCUACGGGGCGCAGCAGGCGCGAAACCUCCGCAAUGCGGGCAACCGCGACGGGGGGACCCCCAGUGCCGUGGCACAGCCACGGCUUUUCCGGAGUGUAAAAAGCUCCGGGAAUAAGGGCUGGGCAAGGCCGGUGGCAGCCGCCGCGGUAAUACCGGCGGCCCAAGUGGUGGCCGCUAUUAUUGGGCCUAAAGCGUCCGUAGCCGGGCCUGUAAGUCCCUGGCGAAAUCCCACGGCUCAACCGUGGGGCUUGCUGGGGAUACUGCAGGCCUUGGGACCGGGAGAGGCCGGGGGUACCCCUGGGGUAGGGGUGAAAUCCUAUAAUCCCAGGGGGACCGCCAGUGGCGAAGGCGCCCGGCUGGAACGGGUCCGACGGUGAGGGACGAAGGCCAGGGGAGCGAACCGGAUUAGAUACCCGGGUAGUCCUGGCUGUAAAGGAUGCGGGCUAGGUGUCGGACGAGCUUCGAGCUCGCCCGGUGCCGGAGGGAAGCCGUUAAGCCCGCCGCCUGGGGAGUACGGCCGCAAGGCUGAAACUUAAAGGAAUUGGCGGGGGAGCACUACAAGGGGUGGAGCGUGCGGUUUAAUUGGAGCAACGCCGGAAAUC
This 926-nucleotide ribosomal RNA is filed under the name uncultured archaeon. RNAcentral's name for it is "bacterial SSU rRNA". It matches the Rfam family "Archaeal small subunit ribosomal RNA", at positions 1 to 926 of the family's 1478-position model. The record is from RNAcentral.